UCAUUUCCUUUAUAAGAUUAAUAAGCUUACCUUUUCUUGUGUAUGGUCGAUGUGGGCUCUAGAAAUACAAUACCAAACCCUUCUGUUUCUUUUGUUCAUGCCACAGAUGUAAUAGUCAUGCCCAAAAGCUUAAUAAACAUUGAAGAACUAAUAAUCCUAUUACAAAUUCAGAUGAUCUUUCUAGUACAUUGUAUCCUUCUUCUGAUUUUGGCUUCACAGCUUACACAUGUGUCCAUAGGAACAUAGUCUUGCAGACAUUGGUCUUGUCCUCCUUGAAAGCAACUUUCGUGUUAAUGAUUUCGUCUUGACUUCAUUUGUUGUGGUGUGCUUUUUAAAGACGAAACCUUGCACAGGCGAUAUGAAUAUUGUAGCUGCUACCUUCAUAGACAUCGAAAUUCGCAUGCUUAAACCAAACAUAGUUCCUUGCAAUGAAAUGUCGUAGAAUCCUUUAGUGAUGAAUUGAGAUUUUAAAGACUCCAUAAAUCAAUAACAAACAUUUCAAGACUCGCUUACACAACAUCAUCCAAUUUAGGUAUCUAGAAUUCAAACCAAAAAUUCAAAACUAAUAGGCAUUUGAAUUCUUUUAGUCUAAAGUUAGGCUAUUAUAAUCAAAAGAGGUACUUAUAUUGUCUUCUUUGCAAUAUUAAGCUUAAUUCUUUAAAUCAUAAAUCAUGCAGUCCGUAGAAAAACUGAUUAAAGAUUAAGGAAAUGUUUAGAUGAUGAUUGUUGUUUAGAGAGGAUUUUUCAUGUUUAUCACAUUGGGUAACCGGCAACAUCUAUAACUUUUGAGAAUUCUAUGUUAAUAAGUUUUAAGCUCACCGUGUAACAAUGCACAUUAGGAGCAUGCAAAGUAUCUAAGAGCAUCUUCAGUGUUCAUUUUUUCUAGGAUCUAUUGAGUUUUAUACACUACUAAAACAUGGUCCUUCUAUGCCAUAUCAUACGUAUGAAAGUCAUACCCUUUUGCUUUUUAUUAGUAAAAAAAAUACAACUACCCACAUACACACACACACACACACACACAUAUAUAUAUAUAUAUAUAUAUAUAUAUAUAUAUAUAUAUAUAUAUAUAUAUAUAUAUAUAUAUAUAUAUAUCACUAUAUUUUAUAAAGUUGAAUGCAAAGUGAUUUAUGUUUGGAUACAUAUUAAAAGUGAUUUGAACAAUAAAUUUAAGUGUUAAUAAUCAAUUCUAGAAUAAUUUAUCAAAAAAAAAAAAAUCAAAUGUACUGUAGAAUAAAAAACUCCAAUUUCUUGCUUCAAGGAGAAUUAAUUUUGGAGGCGUGACAACAAAAUGUUCAUUGCUCGCCUUUUGUAUCAUUUUAAUUGAUCUUCUUCCUUCAUUGUCCCGUCAAAUCACUAAAUUUAUUGUCACAUCAUCAAAUUAGAUUUCUUCAAAAAUCAUUAAAUUAGAUAAAAAUUAUAAUUUUGCCAAAAAAAUUGAUUUUGCCAAAUUAAAAGGAUCAAAAGAGUGUAUUUUAAGUCACUAUGGAAUACAAUGAUUGACAAAUUAAAAUAAGUUAACUAUUAAAAAAUAAAAGUUUGAACUUAUUUGCAGAGCUCUUUCAUAAUAACUCGUAUCCUCAAUUUUCAUAUUUCCCUUGGCGAUAGUAAACACAUGUGAAAGAAACAACACAAUUAUAAAUAAAUGGAAUCUAAUAUACUACUCUCUCCGUUUCAAAAUGAGUGUCGUUUGCACAUAUUAUAUUAAUUAAUGGAAUAAAGUAGUCAAAUGUCAUAGCAAUUUUACCAAAUUAUCUUAAUCAUCUAUUGAUUUGUUUUUCAUUAAAAAAAAUAUAUAAUACUUUAAAAGUAAUGUAAUAUAGUAUUAAUUGAAGGAUACAAUUGAAAAAAAGAAUGUCCAAAACAUACAUACUGCUAAUGGAAUAACACAUUUGGAAGACCCAUCAAGUAUAGUUUUGUUGCGUAUCCCUUCCUCUUCUGCAAUUUUGCUUACAUAUGAAACAUAGAUGAUUGCAUGAUGAUAUUCAAUCCUUUAAAUGAUUUACUAAUGGUUAGGAUUUCUGUUGUUGGAUGUAUUAGUAGACGAGAAAUGUGUGACGAAAAUAUAAAAGAUAUGUGCAGAUAAGAAUUAUCAAGUCACGACCUGCUUUUUGGUCAUGCCACAAAUGAAAAUACUCAAACUUUUUUUUUUUUGACAAAGAAAAUACUCAAACUAUUGAACAUUCAAGAACUCAUAAUUCUACUGAAAGGAUGAAGAAAGGAAAAGUGGACAGUGCACACAUGAUUUCAAUCUCUUGAAGCACAUACCUGAGACACAGGUGAGAGAAAGAGUUCUUUGUUUCUUGAUUCGAAAAUCUUCCAUAUCUUUUGUGGAUCUAAUAAUUAGUUAUUGAAAUCAAAUCUCAACACAACUUUUACUUAAGGAUUAACACUUCUUCAUAAAUUAAUAAUAUUGAUUUUUUUAGUAACUUUAUGAUAGAUCUCUAUAAUUUUAAUUUCAUAAUAGGGUGGUUAAUAAUGCUUUUCCUUGUUAUAUAUGUCAUUUUUUAUCUUUUCCUGUAAAUUAUUUUUGUUUAUUUAGCCCCUGUAAAAAAAAAUUGAAAUACCUCUUUAAUAGGUCAUUCAAAAAAAAAUUGCAGAAAUUUUCGUAUUUGAAUGACCUAAUAGGGGUAUUCAAAAAAAAAAAAAUUACAGUAAGCAAAACAAACAAAAAAAUUACAGAGGAGAAAACCAAAAAUGACAUAUAUUAUAGGGCGGUAAAACACCAUUAACACUUCAUAAUAUGACAUCAAUCCUUAUACAAUCCUUUAUGGAGCUUAUAAAAUAAAUAAACUCAAUAAUAUAAUACAAUUUACAUAAUAAUUAUUGAAAGCAUCUAUAAGACAUUGAUUCUUAUUUAUGGAAUUGUAAAGUAUAACCUAUAAUUAUCGGUACAAAAAUUAAAACUAUUUUACAAAAAUGAUUGAUGAAGAAGAAUUGCAUACCUCAAUUAGUUAGAGAUAGUGUCUUAUGAAAGUAUUGAAAUAAGAACAAGAAUAGAGAGAAGUAGAAAGAGAGAAAAGAGAU
RNAcentral lists this long non-coding RNA (3024 nucleotides) under Medicago truncatula (barrel medic). RNAcentral describes it as "long non-coding RNA (MTRU_LNC000952)". The record is from RNAcentral. Lineage: Eukaryota; Viridiplantae; Streptophyta; Magnoliopsida; Fabales; Fabaceae.